UUAUUGGGGUAGCCCCCAAAAUAUUGGGACAUAUAAAAAAAGACAACUCUGUUCCGCAGAGUAGCUGUUAACAUUAUAGUUGCGCAGGAACUUUGUUGAUUCUAGAACCUCGGGCAAAUCACACAUCCCCGUGGUGGCGACUUUGCAUGCGGAUGUCAUCCAUAUCAACAUUCGAUGCCAGUUUCUGUGCCUACCAUGGUGACCACGGGUAACGGGGAACCAGGGUUUCAUUCCGUACCGGGACCCUGAGAAAUGGCUACCACAUGCAAGGAAGGCAGCAGGCGCGAAAGUUACCCACUCCCGACGCGGGAAGGUAGUGAUGA
Non-coding RNA from Pelobates cultripes (western spadefoot toad), 323 nucleotides. NCBI's taxonomy places the organism in Eukaryota, Metazoa, Chordata, Amphibia, Anura, Pelobatidae. The record is from the annotation of a GenBank genome assembly.